GAGUUUGAUCAUGGCUCAGAUUGAACGCUGGCGGCAGGCCUAACACAUGCAAGUCGAGCGGAAACGAGUUAUCUGAACCUUCGGGGAACGAUAACGGCGUCGAGCGGCGGACGGGUGAGUAAUGCCUAGGAAAUUGCCCUGAUGUGGGGGAUAACCAUUGGAAACGAUGGCUAAUACCGCAUGAUGCCUACGGGCCAAAGAGGGGGACCUUCGGGCCUCUCGCGUCAGGAUAUGCCUAGGUGGGAUUAGCUAGUUGGUGAGGUAAGGGCUCACCAAGGCGACGAUCCCUAGCUGGUCUGAGAGGAUGAUCAGCCACACUGGAACUGAGACACGGUCCAGACUCCUACGGGAGGCAGCAGUGGGGAAUAUUGCACAAUGGGCGCAAGCCUGAUGCAGCCAUGCCGCGUGUGUGAAGAAGGCCUUCGGGUUGUAAAGCACUUUCAGUCGUGAGGAAGGUAGUGUAGUUAAUAGCUGCAUUAUUUGACGUUAGCGACAGAAGAAGCACCGGCUAACUCCGUGCCAGCAGCCGCGGUAAUACGGAGGGUGCGAGCGUUAAUCGGAAUUACUGGGCGUAAAGCGCAUGCAGGUGGUUUGUUAAGUCAGAUGUGAAAGCCCGGGGCUCAACCUCGGAAUAGCAUUUGAAACUGGCAGACUAGAGUACUGUAGAGGGGGGUAGAAUUUCAGGUGUAGCGGUGAAAUGCGUAGAGAUCUGAAGGAAUACCGGUGGCGAAGGCGGCCCCCUGGACAGAUACUGACACUCAGAUGCGAAAGCGUGGGGAGCAAACAGGAUUAGAUACCCUGGUAGUCCACGCCGUAAACGAUGUCUACUUGGAGGUUGUGGCCUUGAGCCGUGGCUUUCGGAGCUAACGCGUUAAGUAGACCGCCUGGGGAGUACGGUCGCAAGAUUAAAACUCAAAUGAAUUGACGGGGGCCCGCACAAGCGGUGGAGCAUGUGGUUUAAUUCGAUGCAACGCGAAGAACCUUACCUACUCUUGACAUCCAGAGAACUUUCCAGAGAUGGAUUGGUGCCUUCGGGAACUCUGAGACAGGUGCUGCAUGGCUGUCGUCAGCUCGUGUUGUGAAAUGUUGGGUUAAGUCCCGCAACGAGCGCAACCCUUAUCCUUGUUUGCCAGCGAGUAAUGUCGGGAACUCCAGGGAGACUGCCGGUGAUAAACCGGAGGAAGGUGGGGACGACGUCAAGUCAUCAUGGCCCUUACGAGUAGGGCUACACACGUGCUACAAUGGCGCAUACAGAGGGCAGCCAACUUGCGAAAGUGAGCGAAUCCCAAAAAGUGCGUCGUAGUCCGGAUUGGAGUCUGCAACUCGACUCCAUGAAGUCGGAAUCGCUAGUAAUCGUGGAUCAGAAUGCCACGGUGAAUACGUUCCCGGGCCUUGUACACACCGCCCGUCACACCAUGGGAGUGGGCUGCAAAAGAAGUAGGUAGUUU
This 1448-nucleotide ribosomal RNA is filed under the name Vibrio alginolyticus. Its description in RNAcentral is "bacterial SSU rRNA". It matches the Rfam family "Bacterial small subunit ribosomal RNA". The record is from RNAcentral. Lineage: Bacteria; Pseudomonadati; Pseudomonadota; Gammaproteobacteria; Vibrionales; Vibrionaceae.